RNAcentral lists this ribosomal RNA (620 nucleotides) under Brevundimonas sp. I12B-01128. RNAcentral describes it as "bacterial SSU rRNA". It matches the Rfam family "Bacterial small subunit ribosomal RNA", at positions 107 to 762 of the family's 1533-position model. The record is from RNAcentral. Lineage: Bacteria; Pseudomonadati; Pseudomonadota; Alphaproteobacteria; Caulobacterales; Caulobacteraceae.
UGAGUAACACGUGGGAACGUGCCCUUUGGUACGGAAUAACUCAGGGAAACUUGAGCUAAUACCGUAUGUGCCCUUCGGGGGAAAGAUUUAUCGCCAUUGGAGCGGCCCGCGUCUGAUUAGCUAGUUGGUGAGGUAAAGGCUCACCAAGGCGACGAUCAGUAGCUGGUCUGAGAGGAUGAUCAGCCACAUUGGGACUGAGACACGGCCCAAACUCCUACGGGAGGCAGCAGUGGGGAAUCUUGCGCAAUGGGCGAAAGCCUGACGCAGCCAUGCCGCGUGAAUGAUGAAGGUCUUAGGAUUGUAAAAUUCUUUCACCGGGGACGAUAAUGACGGUACCCGGAGAAGAAGCCCCGGCUAACUUCGUGCCAGCAGCCGCGGUAAUACGAAGGGGGCUAGCGUUGCUCGGAAUUACUGGGCGUAAAGGGAGCGUAGGCGGACAUUUAAGUCAGGGGUGAAAUCCCGGGGCUCAACCUCGGAAUUGCCUUUGAUACUGGGUGUCUUGAGUAUGAGAGAGGUGUGUGGAACUCCGAGUGUAGAGGUGAAAUUCGUAGAUAUUCGGAAGAACACCAGUGGCGAAGGCGACACACUGGCUCAUUACUGACGCUGAGGCUCGAAAGCGU